UGAAUACGAGAUGCUACGGCGUCGAAGCAGUGUAUGUCAGACUUCCAAGAAAAGCUCGCAAUGUCAUAAAUAAAGAAUGCCUGUACCAUAACCGACACAGGUGGGUAGGUAGAGUAUACUAAGGGGCGCGAGAUAACUCUCUCUAAGGAACUCGGCAAAAUAACUCCGUAACUUCGGGAGAAGGAGUGCCUUCUUGAAGAAGGUUGCAAUAACAAGAUCCAAGCAACUGUUUAUCAAAAACACAGGUCUCCGCUAAGUCGAAAGACGAUGUAUGGGGGCUGACGCCUGCCCAGUGCCAGAAGGUUAAAGAAGCUGGUUAGCAAUAGCGAAGCUGGUGACUGAAGCCCUGGUGAACGGCGGCCGUAACAAUAACGGUCCUAAGGUAGCGAAAUUCCUUGUCGGGUAAGUUCCGACCCGCACGAAAGGCGUAAUGAUUUGGAUACUGUCUCGGAGAGGGACUCGGUGAAAUAGACUUGUCUGUGAAGAUGCGGACUACCUGCACCAGGACAGAAAGACCCUAUGAAGCUUUACUGUAACUUGAAAUUGAAAUUGGACUUUAUUUGCGCAGUAUAGGUGGAAGGCGUUGAGAUUACUCUUGCGGGAUUAGUGGAGCCAUCAGUGAGAUACCACUCCUAUAAUGUUAGAUUUCUAACUUUGGAUCAUAAUCUGGUCAAAGAACAGUUUCAGGCGGGCAGUUUGACUGGGGCGGUCGCCUCCCAAAUGGUAACGGAGGCGUACAAAGGUUUCCUCUGAACGGGUAGAAAUCGUAUCUAGAGUGUAAGGGCAUAAGGAAGCUUGACUGUGAGACCUACAAGUCGAGCAGGGACGAAAGUCGGUCUUAGUGAUCUGACGGUGCUGAGUGGAAAGGCCGUCACUCAACGGAUAAAAGUUACUCUAAGGAUAACAGGCUGAUCUCCCCCAAGAGUUCACAUCGACGGGGAGGUUUGGCACCUCGAUGUCGGCUCAUCGCAUCCUGGGGCGGUAGUACGUCCCAAGGGUUGGGCUGUUCGCCCAUGAAAGCGGUACGCGAGCUGGGUUCAGAACGUCGUGAGACAGUUCGGUCCAUAUCCGGUGUAGGCGUUAGAAUAUUGAGAGGAGCCUUCUUUAGUACGAGAGGACCGAGAAGGACAUACCUCUGGUGUACCAGUUAUCGUGCCAACGGUAAACGCUGGGUAGCUAUGUAUGGAGAGGAUAACCGCUGAAAGCAUCUAAGUGGGAAGCCCACCUCAAGAUGAGUAUUCUCAU
RNAcentral lists this ribosomal RNA (1245 nucleotides) under metagenome. RNAcentral's name for it is "bacterial LSU rRNA". It matches the Rfam family "Bacterial large subunit ribosomal RNA", at positions 1564 to 2817 of the family's 2925-position model. The record is from RNAcentral.